CACGGGGGGAGCAAGCGUUGUUCGGAAUCACUGGGCGUAAAGGGCGUGUAGGCGGUCGAGUAAGUGGAAUGUGAAACGCCUCGGCUUACCCGAGGACCUGCAUCCCAAACUGCUUGGCUUGAGUAUGGGAGAGGAUGAGGGAAUUCCUGGUGUAGCGGUGAAAUGCGUAGAUAUCAGGAGGAACACCGGUGGCGAAAGCGCUCAUCUGGCCCAAUACUGACGCUGAGGCGCGAAAGCUAGGGGAGCAAACGGG
RNAcentral lists this ribosomal RNA (253 nucleotides) under uncultured bacterium. RNAcentral's name for it is "partial 16S ribosomal RNA". It matches the Rfam family "Bacterial small subunit ribosomal RNA", at positions 524 to 776 of the family's 1533-position model. The record is from RNAcentral.